GAACUUACCUGGCAGGGGAGGUACCAUGAUUACUAGGUGGUUUUCCCAGGGCGAGGCUUAUCCAUUGCACUCCAGAUGUGCUGACCCCUACGAUUUCCCCAAAUGUGGGAAACUGGACUGCAUGAUUUGUGAUUGAUAUUAAAAUUCAUUAGAACUCGAGGCAGAAUGUGAUAU
Molecule: small nuclear RNA, 174 nt
Filed under: Choloepus hoffmanni (Hoffmann's two-fingered sloth)
Lineage: Eukaryota; Metazoa; Chordata; Mammalia; Pilosa; Megalonychidae
Description: U1 spliceosomal RNA (ENSCHOG00000014290.1)
Rfam family: U1 spliceosomal RNA (bases 1-155)
About the family: U1 is a small nuclear RNA (snRNA) component of the spliceosome (involved in pre-mRNA splicing). Its 5' end forms complementary base pairs with the 5' splice junction, thus defining the 5' donor site of an intron. There are significant differences in sequence and secondary structure between metazoan and yeast U1 snRNAs, the latter being much longer (568 nucleotides as compared to 164 nucleotides in human).
Source: RNAcentral